UGCUGGGUAGCUCAGUCAGUAGAGCAUGAGACUCUGAAUCUCAGGGUCGUGGGUUCGAGCCCCACAUUGGGCAA
This is a non-coding RNA of Lacerta agilis (Sand lizard), 74 nucleotides long. The record is from the annotation of a RefSeq genome assembly. Lineage: Eukaryota; Metazoa; Chordata; Lepidosauria; Squamata; Lacertidae.